AUGCCCUGCGAUGUGCGAAAGUUGCUGCAGGGCAAGGUUGGGUUCCGCGCCAAUCCCAACUACAUGAACUCACAUGGGUACUUUCCCCUUCACAAAGCUGCUGAAAUGUUCUCUGCCGACAUGAUCAAGUUGCUCUUCUGCUAUGGCGCAUCGGCCAAUUUGCGCACAGUUGGCCCUGAAGUCAUCGAGGGCCUACUCCCACUACAUGUUGCAGUUGAGAACGCUUGCCAGCAUAAGUUUCUUGAGGAAAACCUGUUACCUGACAAAGGGAAUACCGACCAUGUCUACAGGCUCAUUCAAUUGCUGUGCUUACCUGAAAUGAAGAUCUUCUUAGAUACAGUUAGACUGAUUGCAGAAAGAACAGAUGAUCUACUUGCCGAGCUCUGGAAAUACAUCAAGGACGGAAAGCUUUCCGAAACAGCAGUUUUGCUCCUGGCAGCUCAAAAGAAGAUCCGUACGGUAUCUUAUGAAAAUGGCAAUAUCAAGACAGAUGGGUUUAGUAUUAUCUCUAAUCUUUGUACAGAGAAUGUUGUUGCUAUAGAUUCGGAGAUUGCUCAAAACAGAGCCAGAAAGAAGCAGCAGCUGAAGGCGGACAAAAAGCUUAGGCGUAUGGCAUUGCUGCUUGUUAUUGUAAUUUGUGAAGCUGGCGAAGCUCUUGAUGCAUACAUUCGGGCACAUCCAGAGGGACCCUAUGCCAUGUAG
RNAcentral lists this ribosomal RNA (702 nucleotides) under Triticum aestivum (bread wheat). RNAcentral describes it as "partial small subunit ribosomal RNA". Lineage: Eukaryota; Viridiplantae; Streptophyta; Magnoliopsida; Poales; Poaceae. The record is from RNAcentral.